RNAcentral lists this small nucleolar RNA (105 nucleotides) under Oryza sativa Japonica Group (Japanese rice). Its description in RNAcentral is "Plant small nucleolar RNA R71". Lineage: Eukaryota; Viridiplantae; Streptophyta; Magnoliopsida; Poales; Poaceae. The record is from RNAcentral.
CAUCCCAUGAUGAGGACAGGUGGCCACAUACUCCUGCAGUCGUCCAUCCCAGGUGUUGGCAGCAGCACGGUUGCCAUAGAACCACUACUUCGCUCUCCCGAGAAG